Long non-coding RNA from Clupea harengus (Atlantic herring), 719 nucleotides. Lineage: Eukaryota; Metazoa; Chordata; Actinopteri; Clupeiformes; Clupeidae. The record is from Ensembl.
AAAUAAGGUGCGUGAUACAGAGAAAGACUGACAGAGUGAAAGUAUGAAAGAUUAAAAAAAAGAAAGAAAGAAAGAAAGAAAGAAAGAGAGAAAGAAAGAAAGAGAGAGAGAGAGAGAGGGGGGGGGGUAAAGACAGUUAGGGCUGUAUGUGAUUUGAGAUAGAGAUGAGAAAGUGGUGACAUUGGGGCGUAACAGUGUCCAGAGACAUUUUAAUAACUGGGUCAGUUGAGGAGAGGAAGUGGACAGCUGUUUGACAUUCGACUCGCCUCCCGUUAAAAUAACCUGCGGCCGCGCGCUCGCUUACAUGCUCUCUCACGCCUCAGACGACACCAGGAGACGCUCUACUCUCUCACGUCUCAGACGACACCAUGAGACGCUCUACUCUCUCACAUCUCAGACGACACCAUGAGACGCUCUACUCUCUCACGCCUCAGACGACACCAGUCACUCACACCCGGAGAGUGAGACGCUCUACUCUCUCACGUCUCAGACGACACCAGUCACUCACACCCGCACUCUUUCAUGCACUCAUUCACUCACUCGUUCAUUCACUCGUUCAUUCACUCGUUCAUACACUUGUUCAUGCACUCCUCCAUUCACUCGUUCAUACACUUCUUUAUUCACUCGUUCAUUCACUCGUUCAUUCACUCGUUCAUACACUUGUUCAUGCACUCCUCCAUUCACUCUUUCAUGCACUUCUUUAUUCACUCGUUCAUUCA